RNAcentral lists this ribosomal RNA (389 nucleotides) under uncultured bacterium. RNAcentral describes it as "bacterial SSU rRNA". It matches the Rfam family "Bacterial small subunit ribosomal RNA", at positions 42 to 456 of the family's 1533-position model. The record is from RNAcentral.
UCAGGCCUAACACAUGCAAGUCGUACGAGAGUUUUUAACUCUAGUGGCGGACGGGUGAGUAACACGUGAGAAUUUGCCUUUAGGAGGGGGACAACAAUUGGAAACGAAUGCUAAUACCCCAUAUGCUUUCGAGUGAAAUGGAUUUUAUCCGCCUAGAGAGAAGCUCGCGGCUGAUUAGCUUGUUGGUAAGGUAAGAGCUUACCAAGGCGACGAUCAGUAUCUGGUUUGAGAGGACGAUCAGACACACUGGAACUGAGACACGGUCCAGACUCCUACGGGAGGCAGCAGUGGGGAAUUUUCCGCAAAGGGCGAAAGCCUGACGGAGCAAUACCGCGUGAGGGUUAAAGGCCUAUGGGUUGUAAACCUCUUUUUCAGGGAGGAAUAAAUGA